CACCGCCAUCAACGGGGGAAAAGGUUAAAGAGCAGGAAACUCGCCCGUCGUUGCUCCGCAUCCGAGCAAGUUCACGUUUCGUUUGUGCUUCGCGCGUUUUAGGAGUGCUCUAAAACUGAACCGGCGGCCUGUCGGCUGCGCCAAGGCAAGGGAAGCUCUGUGGUGCAAAUGAAAUAAAAAAGCUGUUGAGAAAUUGCCCCAGUAAUGCUCAGUGAUGAAGAGAGUGUGAGACCACCAAAGAGGAAAACAAUUCUCCUUUUUAAUUUUCUUUCUUUUUUCAAUCAACAAUACUACCUGUUGAACUGUCAACUGACUAAUGACCUUGGGGAAAAUCAGUGUUAACGUAAUGAAGUUUUGCUUAUUCCUCUCCAGUUGUCUUCUAGAAUAUAUCCUCCCUUGCUAAUAGAAGAAAAAAAUUAAACAACAAAACCCGAAGCUGUUAAUUAUGCCUCAUUAGGAGGAAAAUAAUGCAGAGGAAAAAUUCCUUCCCAAUUACCACUGGAUGAAAAAUCUACGAAAGUGCAUAUUAAUGACAUCCCUGGUUAGAACUGCCCAGCUUCAGAAGGGGGAUGGAAAAAUGAACCCUCUCUGCCCUUCCCUCCUCGCUGGCUCCUGUUCCUGCCUCCUUUGCUGUCCUUCUUCCAGAUGAGAAAGUGGACACGCUCCGUCCCACCAAACCUUAUAAUGUUUGGAUCUACUCCUGCGUGCUGAGAGACAAAUGCUGGAUACUACAUAGACUAAGGAUAUUGAACCACGAUGACUUCCAGCAAUUUACAGCAGGGUGAGCCGGCCCGUGUUUUGAUGACCGGUUAUGCUAUAAACCAUGCUGCGAGGCAUCCUCUGCCAGAAGAGUUUUCUGCUUCCGAGAUCAGAUGCUCUUCAGAAAGCAGCUGCGUUGAAAAGACUUCUGGCCCAGGCCAUGAUCAUUUCUAACCUCUUGUCAAGGCAAUAGCAUCAUUGAACUAACUGUAUAAAAUGUUGAGGACUAUGUCGGAGAAGGGAAGUUUUUACAAAGAGGACAACAGCACAGCAUGUCAUGGUUCACUUGGUUUAAGAGAGGCUUCAAUAGGAGUGACGACAAACUUCCUAACAACCACAGAUAUGGAAUGUAUUAUCCAAGAAGACUGUGGAAUCCUGAUCCGAAGGAAUUUUUAAGAACAAAUUGUUAGUCAAGCAUCUAUAAGGGGUGGUCCCAGCAUGCUGGUCCUGCCACAGAAUUGACCAAAGGUCAAAAAAGCCCUCAUGAUUCCACUGGCUGUUAUUGGCUUUAACACACUCAGCUAUUAUUAAAACACUACAUAAUAUGAUAGAAAGCUGGAAGAUAUAUCUAUGACUGCCUUCUUACAUAGCUGAACAAAAGAAACAAAUACAAUGGCUUCAUGUGAAAAUCAUAUUACAUACGAAAUACAUUAACUGUAGUCACCACAAACAGUAUAUAUUAAAUGACUAUGUCUCCUGUCUUAA
Long non-coding RNA from Struthio camelus australis, 1464 nucleotides. RefSeq lists it as uncharacterized. Lineage: Eukaryota; Metazoa; Chordata; Aves; Struthioniformes; Struthionidae. The record is from RefSeq and is a predicted model, not a curated record.